Long non-coding RNA from Telopea speciosissima, 389 nucleotides. RefSeq lists it as uncharacterized. The transcript has 2 exons. The record is from RefSeq and is a predicted model, not a curated record. Lineage: Eukaryota; Viridiplantae; Streptophyta; Magnoliopsida; Proteales; Proteaceae.
UUUCUGUUCAAGCUUCGUUUUUUAUACCUAUACAACAAUUCAUUUGGAGGGGAAAUCCCACCCAACAUAUCACGUUGCUCCAACCUUAUAGAACUCGAUUUAACUUUCAACAAUAUUGUGGGGAAAAUUCCAGUCGAACUUGGCACCUUGUCAAAGCUUCAAUUCCUUUUUUUACAUGACAACAGAUUGACCGGACAGAUCCCAACUUCCUUUGGGAAUCUUUCAUCCCUUGACACUAUUUCCAUAUCAUUCAAUGAUUUAAGUGGAAGUAUCCCAGAUUCCCUUGGCCAAUUGACAAGAUUAACGUUUCUCACACUUUGUGUAAAUAACUUGUCUGGUACUAUCCCUCCCACUUUAUAUAAUCUUUCCUCACUCGGUGUUUUUGAUGU